UACGGAGGGUGCGAGCGUUGUCCGGAAUCACUGGGCGUAAAGGGCGCGUAGGCGGCCUGAUAAGUAGGGGGUGAAAUCCUGCGGCUUAACCGCAGGGCUGCCUUCUAAACUGUCAGGCUAGAGCACAGUAGAGGCAGGUGGAAUUCCCGGUGUAGCGGUGGAAUGCGUAGAGAUCGGGAAGAACAUCAGUGGCGAAGGCGGCCUGCUGGGCUGUUGCUGACGCUGAGGCGCGACAGCUAGGGGAGCAAACAGG
RNAcentral lists this ribosomal RNA (253 nucleotides) under uncultured bacterium. RNAcentral's name for it is "partial 16S ribosomal RNA". It matches the Rfam family "Bacterial small subunit ribosomal RNA", at positions 524 to 776 of the family's 1533-position model. The record is from RNAcentral.